Molecule: transfer RNA, 66 nt
Organism: Alligator mississippiensis (American alligator)
Lineage: Eukaryota; Metazoa; Chordata; Crocodylia; Alligatoridae
Rfam family: tRNA
About the family: Transfer RNA (tRNA) molecules are approximately 80 nucleotides in length. Their secondary structure includes four short double-helical elements and three loops (D, anti-codon, and T loops).
Source: Rfam
GCUGUUGUGGUUCAGUGGUAGAGUCCUUGUUUGCUGCGCAAGAGACCAGGGUUUGAUUCCCUGGCA